The sequence is a transfer RNA, 72 nucleotides long. It matches the Rfam family "tRNA". Rfam says of the family: Transfer RNA (tRNA) molecules are approximately 80 nucleotides in length. Their secondary structure includes four short double-helical elements and three loops (D, anti-codon, and T loops).
ACUUAAAUAGCUCAGAGGCAGAGCAAAAGACUGAAAAUCUUUAUGUCAGAAGUUCAAAUCUUCUUUUAGGUA